Molecule: Y RNA, 95 nt
Filed under: Microcebus murinus (gray mouse lemur)
Lineage: Eukaryota; Metazoa; Chordata; Mammalia; Primates; Cheirogaleidae
Description: Y RNA (ENSMICG00000043967.1)
Rfam family: Y RNA
About the family: Y RNAs are components of the Ro ribonucleoprotein particle (Ro RNP), in association with Ro60 and La proteins. The Y RNAs and Ro60 and La proteins are well conserved, but the function of the Ro RNP is not known.
Source: Rfam by way of RNAcentral
GGCUGGUCUGAUGGUAGUGGGUUAUCAGAACUUAUUAACAUUAGUGUCACUAAAGUUGGUACACAACCCUCCACUGCUAAAUUUGACUGGCAAAA